This 101-nucleotide non-coding RNA is filed under the name Eisenbergiella massiliensis. Its description in RNAcentral is "pemK RNA". It matches the Rfam family "pemK RNA". Lineage: Bacteria; Bacillati; Bacillota; Clostridia; Lachnospirales; Lachnospiraceae. The record is from RNAcentral.
AUAAUGAUACUCCCUUAUAGCCAUAAUAGUCCGAGCGUUCAAAGCGUCGCAGGCAAUGGGUAGGGCUGCAUGAGAACCAUGCAGGGGUGAAACUCCCGUGA